This 1509-nucleotide ribosomal RNA is filed under the name Triticum aestivum (bread wheat). Its description in RNAcentral is "partial small subunit ribosomal RNA". The record is from RNAcentral. Lineage: Eukaryota; Viridiplantae; Streptophyta; Magnoliopsida; Poales; Poaceae.
AUGGAGUCACAGGAGAGGUCACCCAAGGCCAAGGAAGCCCAUGCCGACGACGGCAUCACUAUCGCUGAGCUGCCGAGCCCCCGCCCCGGCGAGGGUCCGAAGAAGGAGAGGCUGCUCGACUUCCUCAGGGCCGCGCCCUCCAAGGGCGCCGUCCUCGCUCGCGUCGCCAGCCUCCGCACGCGCGCGGCGUACAGCAACUUCCUCCGCUCGCCGCCGGUCGCGCGCGCCGUUGACUGGCGCCGGGUGCGGGACAGGGGCGUGGCGUGGGCUAGGCAUCCCAUGAACGCCGCGCUGCUCGUGUGGUUCGCCUUCGUUGCUGCGGGGGUGGUCUUCGUGCUCCUGCUCAUGGUGGGGGCGCUCGACUCCGACGUGCCAGACGCGUCGCGCCGGCGGCGGUGGACGGAGGUGGCCAACCAGAUGCUCAACGCGCUCUUCACCAUCAUGUGCGUCUACCAGCACCCGCGACUCUGCCACCAUCUCGCGCUCCUCCUCCGGUGGCGCGCCCCCGCCGACGUCGCUGAGCUCCGGGCCGUGUACUGCAAGAACUGCGCCGGGGGCGUCAGGCGCGAGCGCCUCCACGUGGCGGUCGUCGUGCUCCUCCUGCAUGCCACCUGCUUCGCGCAGUACGCCUACUGCGCGCUCUUCUGGCUCUUCCGCAACGACAGGCGCCCCGGCUGGGCCGUUAACCUCUUGAUGGCGCUCGGCUCCGGCACCCCCGUCGUCGCCGGCCUGUACAUGGUCUACGGCCCGCUCGGACAGAAGAUCGCGCUCCCGGACUCUGUCGACGAGGAGGCCGCGACGGUGAAGGAGAGCGCCGUGGCCCGAUACGAUCGCACGGGCAGCGGCAGAGUGGUGGUCAGCAAGCCGGAGUGGGCCGGCGGGCUGUUCGACCUCGCCGACGAUCCCACGGUGGCGGCGAUGUCGCUGUCGUGCACCUUCUGCGUGUUCGGGUGGAACAUGGAGCGCCUGGGCCUGGGCAACAUGUACGUGCACGCCUUCACCUUCGCGCUCCUCUGCGCCGCGCCGCUGCUGGUCUUCGCGGUCGCCGCGCUCAGCAUCCGUGACGCCACACUCGGGUACCUCGUCGGCGCCGCGGGCGCGCUGCUCUCCGUGCUCGGUCUCACUUACGGGGGGUUCUGGCGAACGCGGAUGAGGAAGAGGUUCGGGCUGCCGGCUGACGACCGGUUCUGCGCUCCCGUGUGCGGCGGACGGCGUACCACGGUGGCGGCGGCGGACUACGCCAAGUGGCUCUUCUGCGCGCCGUGCGCGCUGGCGCAGGAGGUGAGGACGGGCAACUUCUACGACGUGGAGGGCGACGGUUUAUACGUGAAGGGAGAAGGUGGCGUGGAAGAAGAAAGGAGGCCGGCAAUGGCGCCCCUUGAGAGGGAAGGGAGCCUCGCGGCAUUGAUGGAGGCCGAGAAGACCGGCGAGCGUCUCCAUGCACCACCGGUGCCCAUGAGGGUAGAGACUAGAGACAAAGGAAGUACGUCUAUCUGCACGUCUGUCUGA